CGAAUUGCGCGCCACGGCUGGCAGUUUUCUCGACCUCUGCUUCAAUCCCGAAUGGGCCGCCGAGGUGACGCUGCAGCCGAUCCGGCGUUUCGGUUUCGACGCCGCGAUCAUCUUCUCGGACAUUCUGGUGAUCCCGCAUGCACUCGGACGCUCGGUGCGCUUUGAGGCCGGCGAAGGCCCCCGCCUCGAUCCGCUCGAUACGCCUGAGAAGAUCGCGACGCUGGCGAUGGCCGCCGACUUCACCAA
RNAcentral lists this unclassified non-coding RNA (246 nucleotides) under Hevea brasiliensis (rubber tree). Lineage: Eukaryota; Viridiplantae; Streptophyta; Magnoliopsida; Malpighiales; Euphorbiaceae. The record is from RNAcentral.